AUGGGCGGCCUGCUGCUGACUGGGGUGACUGGGGUAGGGAAUAUGUCCGUUCGCAGGUUACUCAAGAAUGGAUUCAGGCAGAAGGUGAUGGUGCGAAAGUGCAGGCACACUCACAGAGUAGGGUUUUACGGGCAGCAGAUGAUGAUGCAGGUUGCAGACACAGUCACAGAGCAGAGUUUUACUGUACAAAUCAGGAACCAUUCGACAGUGCAGGUUGAAGACACGGUCACUGAGCAGAGUUACUGUCCAAAUCAGGAACCAUUAGACAGUGCAGCUUGCAGACAGAGUCACCGAGCAGAUUUUGAGGUGCAUUGA
RNAcentral lists this ribosomal RNA (315 nucleotides) under Triticum aestivum (bread wheat). RNAcentral's name for it is "partial small subunit ribosomal RNA". Lineage: Eukaryota; Viridiplantae; Streptophyta; Magnoliopsida; Poales; Poaceae. The record is from RNAcentral.